AGAGUUUGAUCAUGGGUCAGAGUGAACGNCUGGCGGCAGGCCUAACACAUGCAAGUCGAGCGGCAGCGCGGGGGCAACCCUGGCGGCGAGCGGCGGACGGGUGAGGAAUGCAUCGGAAUCUACCUCGUUGUGGGGGAUAACCUCGGGAAACCGGGACUAAUACCGCAUACGACCUACGGGUGAAAGUGGGGGGCCUUCGGGCCUCACGCGAUGAGAUGAGCCGAUGCCGGAUUAGCUAGUUGGCGGGGUAAAGGCCCACCAAGGCGACGAUCCGUAGCUGGUCUGAGAGGAUGAUCAGCCACACUGGAACUGAGACACGGUCCAGACUCCUACGGGAGGCAGCAGUGGGGAAUAUUGGACAAUGGGCGCAAGCCUGAUCCAGCCAUGCCGCGUGUGUGAAGAAGGCCUUCGGGUUGUAAAGCACUUUUGUUGGGGAAGAAACCGGCCGGAUUAAUACUUCGGUUGAAUGACGGUACCCAAAGAAUAAGCACCGGCUAACUUCGUGCCAGCAGCCGCGGUAAUACGAAGGGUGCAAGCGUUACUCGGAAUUACUGGGCGUAAAGCGUGCGUAGGCGGUUUGUUAAGUCUGUCGUGAAAGCCCCGGGCUCAACCUGGGAAUGGCGAUGGAUACUGGCAAGCUAGAGUGUGUCAGAGGAUGGUGGAAUUCCCGGUGUAGCGGUGAAAUGCGUAGGGAUCGGGAGGAACACCAGUGGCGAAGGCGGCCAUCUGGGACACACUGACGCUGAGGCACGAAAGCGUGGGGAGCAACAGGAUUAGAUACCCU
This 784-nucleotide ribosomal RNA is filed under the name uncultured Dokdonella sp. Its description in RNAcentral is "bacterial SSU rRNA". It matches the Rfam family "Bacterial small subunit ribosomal RNA", at positions 8 to 788 of the family's 1533-position model. Lineage: Bacteria; Pseudomonadati; Pseudomonadota; Gammaproteobacteria; Lysobacterales; Rhodanobacteraceae. The record is from RNAcentral.